RNAcentral lists this transfer RNA (73 nucleotides) under Pirellulales bacterium. Its description in RNAcentral is "tRNA-Ile". It matches the Rfam family "tRNA". Rfam says of the family: Transfer RNA (tRNA) molecules are approximately 80 nucleotides in length. Their secondary structure includes four short double-helical elements and three loops (D, anti-codon, and T loops). Further hydrogen bonds mediate the characteristic L-shaped molecular structure. tRNAs have two regions of fundamental functional importance: the anti-codon, which is responsible for specific mRNA codon recognition, and the 3' end, to which the tRNAs corresponding amino acid is attached (by aminoacyl-tRNA synthetases). tRNAs cope with the degeneracy of the genetic code in two manners: having more than one tRNA (with a specific anti-codon) for a particular amino acid; and 'wobble' base-pairing, i.e. permitting non-standard base-pairing at the 3rd anti-codon position. The record is from RNAcentral. Lineage: Bacteria; Pseudomonadati; Planctomycetota; Planctomycetia; Pirellulales.
GCGCCCGUAGCUCAACGGUAGAGCAGCAGGCUCAUAACCUGUCAGGUUGUUGGUUCGAAUCCAUCCGGGCGUA